ACCUUUGAAAAAGUUCAAAACUCCAAAACUUGAAAUUUGAAGAUCAAGUAGGCAACUUAGUGAGAUUGGUUAGAGAGAUUGGGAGAUGAUCUGAAUGUGAAACUUGUUGGGUCAGAUAGAGGGAGUGGGAAGGUUUAAUUAAAGCCUUGAAUCAGCCAAAUCCACUGAAUGAGUAGAGAGAAACUUGAUGAUGAAUGUAGGGUCAAAAUGUUUGCCAUGAAAAUGAAAUAAAUUGAUUUAAAACUCAAUAAUGAUCAAAUGGUGCCAAACUCGAAUCAAUCAAGACCUAAUCUGGCCCAGGGAACUCAGGAAUAAUAAUUAGGGUUUAAAAAUUAUUUUUCCAUAAUUUAAUUUUACCAUUUACCAUUUAUUUUGAAUUUUUAACUAUUUACCAAAGGUAAAAUCAUUAAAAAUUAACCAAAAAUCAUAAAUCAACCAAAAUACCCUAGAAAAAUUCUAAACAUAAUAUAGGUAUUUAUGGUUAGGUUUUCCAAAGUAUUUCCAAAAAUAUUUAACAUAGUAAUAAUUUUCCUUUCGUUUACCGAUAAACUGAAAAAUCGGUAAACGACGAACAGUCUGACGGUAAACAAUCCGACUGAGAAAUCAAUCGUCGUAGGUUUCAUAUAUGUAUAUUACUAAAUACAUUACAAUACACACACAAAUACAUCAAAUAAAUAUAGGGGUCUUAUAUUACUACCCCUCUAACAAAAAGUUUCGGCCUCGAAACUUAAGAUCCGACAAACAACUCCGGAUACUGCUCUCGGAUUUUGUCCUCAAGCUCCCAAGUUGCAUCACCAGUAGCUUGGUUCCAUAUGACUUUGACUAGAUGUACUUCCUUGUUCCUCAACUGCUUGACUCUACACUCAGCAAUGCUCAUCGGUGCCACGUCGAAAGACAGAUUAUCCUUCAACUGAAUAUCAUCAUCAACGAGGAUAUGCGAAGGAUCAGGAAUAUACUUCCUCAACUGUGACACGUGUAGUACAUCAUGAAUUUUGGACAAGAAAGACGGCAAAGCAAUGCGGUAAGCUACGUAACCGACUCGCUCAAUGAUCCGGUACGGACCGAUAAACUUUGGUGUCAGCUUUUUGGACUUAAUCGCUCUGCCUACUCCUGUAGUCGGCGUCACCCGCAAGAACACAUGGUCACCAGCCUGAAAUUCCAAGUCUCGGCGUCGAACGUCAGCGUAGCUCUUCUGUCUACUCUGAGAUGACCGCAUCUUGUCCUGAAUCUGCUUCACCUUAUCGGUUGUCUGCUGUACUAAGUCAGGACCAACAAGAAGAUGCUCACCAUCCUGAAACCAACACAGAGGAGUCCUACAUCUCCUCCCAUACAAGGCUUCAAACGGUGCCAUCCCGAUACUGGCAUGAAAGCUGUUAUUAUAAGUGAACUCAAUCAAGGGCAACAGUUCAUCCCAGCUCUCCUGAUUAUCCAGUACACAAGCUCGUAACAGAUCCUCCAAAGACUGAAUAGUACGUUCCGACUGACCAUCGGUCUGAGGGUGAUAAGCAGAACUCAAACGAAGUCUCGUACCCAAAGCCUCAUGCAAAGCUUUCCAGAACUUGGAAAUAAACUUUGGAUCUCUAUCCGAAACGAUGCUAGAAGGUACUCCAUGCAGACGUACAAUCUCAGCUAUGUAGACUCUCGCAAGCUGUUCCACAUUAUAAUUCGCUCUGACCGGUAGGAAGUGAGUAGACUUAGUCAGGCGGUCCACAACAACCCAGAUAGAGUCAAAUUUCUUCCUGGUAGUCGGUAGCGCUACAACGAAGUCCAUAGAAAUGCUAUCCCACUUCCACUCUGGCACAUCAAGAGACUGUAACAAACCGGCAGGUUUCUGGUGCUCAACCUUAGCCUUCUGGCAAGUCAAACACGAUGCUACAAACUCAGCGAUCUGCUUCUUCAUUCCAGGCCACCAAAAACUCAACUUCAGAUCUUGGUACAUCUUAGUGGAACCAGGAUGAAUACUCAGCUUACUACGAUGUCCUUCCUCCAUAAUCAAGCGUCUCAACUCAGAAACCCGGGGCACACAAACUCGUCCCUUACAGCGCAAAAUAUCAUCAGACCCAACCUCAAAGUCAGGUGCUUUACCCAGGCUGAUCAUCUCGCGCUUCUCUUCCAACUCCUCAUCUAGUCGUUGUUUCUCACGGAUUUCCUCCAACAGUUCACUGGAAACCGUCAACAUCCCAUAACUCAGUUUCACAGGGGUUAACACAACACCCAAACUUAGAUCUCGGAAUUUCUCGAUCAACUCCAGUUCCUUAACCAUCAGUGAAGACACAUGGAUCGUCUGACGACUCAAAGCAUCAGCUACCACGUUGGCUUUACCUGGUUGAUACAGAAGAGUGAAAUCGUAAUCCUUUAUGAACUCCAUCCAACGCCUCUGCCUCAUGUUCAAAUCUUUCUGAUCAAACAGAUACUUCAAACUUUUAUGAUCAAUGAACACCGUGAACUCACUACCGUACAGAUAGUGCCUCCAGGUUUUUUAGAGCAAAAACAACAGCUGCAAGCUCCAGAUCAUGCGUCGGAUAGUUCCUCUCAUGAAUCUUCAACUGCCUCGAUGCAUAAGCCACCACUUUCCGAUUCUGCAUCAGCACACAACCCAAACCCUGAUAAGAAGCAUCACAGUAUACCUCAUAAGGUACAUCAUCCUGUGGCAAAGUCAAAACAGGUGCAGUAGUCAAACGUUGCUUCAUCGUCUGGAAACUCUGUUCACACUCCUCAGUCCAAGCAAAAGGUUGACCCUUCCGAGUUAGCUUGGUCAAAGGUCCAGCAAUCUUGGCAAAGCCUUCGAUAAACCGACGAUAAUAUCCAGCCAAGCCAAUGAAACUCCGAAUCUCAAUGACAGUCAUCGGACGUUCCCAAGCAACAACAGUUUCCACCUUGCUAGGAUCAACAGCAAUACCCUCCUUGGAGAUAACAUGACCCAAGAAUUUCACUUCCUCCAGCCAGAAUUCACAUUUACCCAAGUUGCCAUACAGAGUUUUCUCCCGAAGUACUUGUAGCACUUGGCGUAAGUGAUCCUCAUGCUCCUUGUGGUCCUUAGAGUAUAUCAGAAUAUCAUCAAUAAACACCACAACAAAGCGAUCCAAGAACGGAUGAAAAAUGCGAUUCAUAUAGUCCAUGAAUAUCGCAGGCGCAUUCGUCACCCCAAAAGGCAUAACCAGAUACUCAAACAGACCAUAUCGAGUCCGAAAAGCAGUCUUCUUGAUAUCUUCCUCCUUAACCCUGAUCUGGUGAUAACCUGAUCUCAAAUCAAUCUUCGAGAAAACCGCAGCAUCCUUCAGUUGAUCCAUCAAGUCAUCAAUCCUCGGUAACGGAUACUUGUUCUUGAUCGUUACCUUAUUCAGUUGGCGAUAAUCAACACAAAGUCUGGAACGACCAUCCUUCUUCUUGACCAACAACACAGGCGCUCCCCAUGGCGAUUUGCUGGUGCGUAUAAACCCUUUCCUGCUGAGGUCCUCCAAUUGACUCUUCAGCUCAGUCAACUCAGCUGGAGCCAUACGGUAAGGUGCAAUAGAAAUAGGUCCAGUACCAGGAACCAGAUCAAUACUGAACUCCAACUCCCUGACAGGCGGUAAACCCGGUACAUCCUCAGGAAAUACAUUUGCAAACUCCUGCACCACAUUAAUAUCUUUCACUCCAUCAUCUCCGAUCAUCGAAGAAGUCGAAGCCAAAAACAUACUCAGAGUCCCGUGCUGUAAGGAUAGCUUCGAAAAAUAAGAAGUCAAGAACUUGGCAACAUCAGCCUCAGGAAGAAUAGCCACCUUAUUAGCACAGUCAAGCAAGACGUGAUUCGCCGAUAACCAGUCCAUCCCUAUGAUGAUGUCCAUACCUUGGAGCGGUAGACAAAUCAAGUUUGUAACAAACUCUUUGUCUAGAUACAACCAAGAACACUCUAAACAAGCAGUGUUAGCAAUCACACUUCCCGUAGCAGGAAUAGUCACCACAAGAUCAAAAGGCAAUUCAGUUAACUUUAGCUCUAACCUCAAAGCACAAGCUAAGUCUAUGAAUGAAUGCGUAGCACCAGAGUCAAAAAGUAUAGUUAAAGGUUUACCAUUCACGCUCCAGACGCUCCGAAUCAGUCCAUCAGCUCUGCUGGACUCAGCACCGCUAACUGUAUAAACUCGAGCACUAGCAACAGGCCUCUUCCCUUUAUUAGCAGCAGGGGCUGGCCUCCGAGCAGCAAUAGCAUUAGUAGCAGCCUCAACCUUGGGAUUUGUGCAAUCCUUACCACUGUGACCAGUCUUCUGACAAUUCCAGCAUACUAAGUCGGGACAACGGUUUGCAAAAUGACCCUUCUUUGAACAGCGGUGACAAACUAUCUCUGAAGUAUCAGACUGUGUAGGCCUCAGUACAAAAUUCCCGAAAGAGGGAGAAUACCCCGACGGAGUACCCCGAUUCUGAGGGCGCUGAAACGGUUUCUUCUGAAAAGACUUGUUCCUGUCAAACCUCCCUGGUCCUGAUCUGUUGGGGCCUCCACUGCCCUGAUUUGGACGGAAAGCAGGCCUCGAUCUGAGAUUAUCAAUGGCCUCAAUGGACUUAGCUUUCUCCACCAAUUCCUGAUAACGAUGGAUGCUGGUCAGUCUAACAGCCCGCUGUAACUCAUAAUUCAGCCCAAGAGUAAACCUGCCACACAUAUAAUCCUCAUCUAUCUGGUCGUGAAAGAACCGGAAAUGUUUAGCCAGAGCCUCUAACUUUACUGCAUAUUCAACCACAGACAUCGAUCCCUGUCGAAGCCUCAGAAACUCUUCCUCCUUGGCCAUCUUGACACUGGCCGGAAAGUAUUUGUCCAGGAAAGCUCUGCGAAAGACCACCCCAAGUAAUAGCUCUACCAUCAGCCUCCAUCAUAGCUUUGGCUCCGCGCCACCAAUACUCAGCUUCCCCAGUCAACAGAUAUGCAGCAUAGUCCACCUUGGUAGCUUCGGCAGUGUGAAGGAAAGCAAAGAUCUUCUCCAAUUCCUGUAACCAAGAAUCAGCCACUUCCGGAUCAAAUCCACCAGCGAACUUCGGCGGAUCCUGCCUUUUGAAGUCAUUGAGCCCCUUAGUCUGAGCGGCUACCAACUCACGCUCCUCCUGUGCAGCACGCCUAGCAUUCUCAUCUGCCUGAAGUUGGGCAGCAGCAGUUGCACGUUGUGCCUCAGUUUGUUCCCUAGCAGCAGUACGGAGUGCUUCAGCUUCUUCCCGAGCUGCAGAAUUAGUGACUUGCUGAGCCAUCAAGGCUGUCAAGUUGGCAAUUUCGGCUUCCAAAUUAUUCAUCUCGUUAGCUUGCUGAUUAUCUGAUUGUGAAGCUUGACCGUGACGAGUUCUCAUCAACCACUUAAGAAACCUUUAGAUAACCUUAUUAGGCAACAGGUUAGAUAACAGAAUAACGGUCUAAAAAGCACAAAGAGUCUAAGUCUAUCAGAGAUUCCCUGUUUUCGAUUGACACCCCAUCAAUCGACUCCAGAGUAAUUAUACUACCCAUCAGCUUUGGUUUAUCUAGAACCAAAUGCUCUGAUACCACAAAAUGUAACGCCCCAAUUAAGGUAACUGGGACGUAGCAUUAGGUAAGCUAACGAUAGACUAAGGUUCACGGAACCACGGGAUUUUUUUUUUCUGAAAACGAACAGUUAUAAGUUCGAAAACCUCGAGAGAAACUUAACACGAUACAAUAAUAAUAUUACAUACCCAGUAUCCCGAAUAAGUUAUAAUUAUUACACAACAACAAGAAAAUAAAAUAUAAAGUCCUUUAUUCAAAUCCGCCAUAACAGAAAACCAAGUCAUCAAUUCUGUUCAUCCGCAUCCGCACCUAAUGGCAGACGAACGCCAAAAACAACAAGACAAGCAACAAUGAAAGGGUUAACUCAUGCAUUAAACAUAAAUCAGAUUGCAAGUUAAAUAAAGAAGCAGCGUAUAGCGAAUAAGGGUUAGUCUUCCUAAAUGUCUAUAUGCUCUCUACAAAAUGGAUCGAUCAAUAAUAAUAAUACCCCGAUGGGUAACAACGGAACGAUAACCGUUGGGGCCACUUAAAAAUUUGCACAUGUGGGACAGUCUCCGGCUGCCGCUUGAUAUAAUAAUAACAUUAACAAUUGCACCUCGAAAGGUGGGACAGUAACUGAACGAAAACAGAAACCGCCGCUUGAAGUGUAACGCCCCGUAGGACGGGACGGCGCGUGGUCGAGACCACUAACCCGCCACUCCUAAUGAAAUGAUAUGGUUAGCCACACAAUAAUAAGAGUGACCUCAAUUCAACAUAACCAAUAAAAGUUCCAAUUCAUCAACGAUAAAAGUGAACCUCAGUUCAUCAUAAUCAAUAAGAUAACCAAGAUAAUAAUACUCCAUCAAUCCAUCAAUAAUAGGUGGAACAGAUAAUGAAUAAAGUCAUGCUAUCUGAAAGUAAAUGACGGAGUUACCCUAACCUUCAACCGCGUGAAUAAUCGGAAACGGAUCAAUCGUCAAAUGGCACUGCAUAAUAUUAAAUAAUGAUCCUUUUAAAACUUAAAUUAAUUAAUAAAGGUAAUAUAUAUUUUAGUCCUUAAUUAUAGGUUUUAAUCUGGAGUCCUUAAGUUUGCCCAAAAUUCCAGAAAUACCCUUAAGACAUGUGAAAUUACCGUUUUGUCCUUUUUAACAAAUUAAAUAGCAAAUAAUUACUUAAAAACAUAUAAAAAUGCUAAAAAUGUUAAAAAUGACAAAUUAAAUUUUUCUAAGUCAGAUUACAUCAUUAAAAAAAAAUUUCUACUAUCUGGAAAAAUUAUUAAGCCAAUUAACCAUUUUUAACUAAUUACUAAAUUAACCAAUUUAUACAAAAUUACUUAAAAUAGCUAUUAAAACAAUAAAAACGUUAUGAAGUUCAAAUUUAUUAAUCUUUAUGCUCCUAAGUUCAUUUAUAAUAUAAAACCUAUUUUCUAACCUCUGGAAAUAUUUUUAAAACGUAUUACCAAUUUUAAAUGUAAAAACUUAAUUAACCAUUUUAAAGAAAAACACCUAAAAAUAGCUAAUUUAUAAGAAAAAUACUAAUAAAUGAUUUUCAGUGCUCUAACUUGUUUAUAAACUCUUUUGUGACUCUGGAAAAUUUCCAUUGAUUUUCUGGAACUAUUAAACUAUUUCUAAACCAUUAAAUAGUCCUAAAAAGUCUAUUAUUAUACUAAAAAUACUUAAAAUUACUAAAUCAGUGAGUUAAGUCUCUGGAAACUUUACGAACACCUACAUAAACUAUAUGAACAUACUUGAUCACUGGAAAAUUUAUUUUACAAUAUUAUUCUAUUUUUAAACACUUUAAAACAUAUAUUACUUAUUUAAUUAACUAAAAAUCACAUAAAUUACUAAAAUUGGUGAAAUAAUUUAUAAAACUUCCAGGGAUGAUAUUAGACCUAUACGGAAGCUCUAUGUAAUUAUCAUGACCUAAAUCAGCCUCUAAAAAAUUUUAUAACAUAUUCCAUACUUUCUAACCAAUUAAAAGUCCAGUUAUCAAGCAAAAAUUGUAGUAAUUAAUCUAGUGCUCCAAAAAUUCUCAAACGUUGCCCGAAAUUAUCUUAUAGCAUCAUGAUAGUACAGUAAAAGUUUCAAGUCCAAGUGAUUAGUAUAAAUGGUACUUACCUUUGAAAAAGUUCAAAACUCCAAAACUUGAAAUUUGAAGAUCAAGUAGGCAACUUAGUGAGAUUGGUUAGAGAGAUUGGGAGAUGAUCUGAAUGUGAAACUUGUUGGGUCAGAUAGAGGGAGUGGGAAGGUUUAAUUAAAGCCUUGAAUCAGCCAAAUCCACUGAAUGAGUAGAGAGAAACUUGAUGAUGAAUGUAGGGUCAAAAUGUUUGCCAUGAAAAUGAAAUAAAUUGAUUUAAAACUCAAUAAUGAUCAAAUGGUGCCAAAAUCGAAUCAA
This 7849-nucleotide long non-coding RNA is filed under the name Lotus japonicus. Its description in RNAcentral is "long non-coding RNA (LJAP_LNC001823)". Lineage: Eukaryota; Viridiplantae; Streptophyta; Magnoliopsida; Fabales; Fabaceae. The record is from RNAcentral.